Molecule: ribosomal RNA, 1369 nt
Filed under: uncultured bacterium
Lineage: Bacteria
Description: bacterial SSU rRNA
Rfam family: Bacterial small subunit ribosomal RNA
Source: RNAcentral
GAGUUUGAUCCUGGCUCAGGACGAACGCUGGCGGCGCGCCUAACACAUGCAAGUCGAACGAGCGAGAGAGAGCUUGCUUUCUCGAGCGAGUGGCGAACGGGUGAGUAACGCGUGAGGAACCUGGCUCAAAGAGGGGGACAACAGUUGGAAACGACUGCUAAUACCGCAUAAGCCCACAGCUCGGCAUCGAGCAGAGGGAAAAGGAGCAAUCCGCUUUGAGAUGGCCUCGCGUCCGAUUAGCUAGUUGGUGAGGUAACGGCCCACCAAGGCGACGAUCGGUAGCCGGACUGAGAGGUUGAACGGCCACAUUGGGACUGAGACACGGCCCAGACUCCUACGGGAGGCAGCAGUGGGGAAUAUUGCACAAUGGGGGAAACCCUGAUGCAGCGACGCCGCGUGGAGGAAGAAGGUCUUCGGAUUGUAAACUCCUGUUGUUGAGGAAGAUAAUGACGGUACUCAACAAGGAAGUGACGGCUAACUACGUGCCAGCAGCCGCGGUAAAACGUAGGUCACAAGCGUUGUCCGGAAUUACUGGGUGUAAAGGGAGCGCAGGCGGGAAGACAAGUUGGAAGUGAAAUCUAUGGGCUCAACCCAUGAACUGCUUUCAAAACUGUUUUUCUUGAGUAGUGCAUAGGUAGGCGGAAUUCCCCGGUGUAGCGGUGGAAUGCGUAGAUAUCGGGAGGAGCACCAAUGGCGAAGCCGGCCUACUGGGCACCAACUGACGCUGAGGCUCGAAAGUGUGGGUAGCAAACAGGAUUAGAUACCCUGGUAGUCCACACCGUAAACGAUGAUUACUAGGUGUUGGAGGAUUGACCCCUUCAGUGCCGCAGUUAACACAAUAAGUAAUCCACGUGGGGAGUACGACCGCAAGGUUGAAACUCAGAGGAAUUGACGGGGGCCCGCACAAGCAGUGGAGUAUGUGGUUUAAUUCGACGCAACGCGAAGAACCUUACCAAGUCUUGACAUCCCUUGACGAUGCUGGAAACAGUAUUUCUCUUCGGAGCAAGGAGACAGGUGGUGCAUGGUUGUCGUCAGCUCGUGUCGUGAGAUGUUGGGUUAAGUCCCGCAACGAGCGCAACCCUUACUGUCAGUUACUACGCAAGAGGACUCUGGCAGGACUGCCGUUGACAAAACGGAGGAAGGUGGGGAUGACGUCAAAUCAUCAUGCCCUUUAUGACUUGGGCUACACACGUACUACAAUGGCGUUAAACAAAGAGAAGCGAGACCGCGAGGUGGAGCAAAACUCAGAAACAACGUCCCAGCUCGGACUGCAGGCUGCAACUCGCCUGCACGAAGUCGGAAUUGCUAGUAAUCGCGGAUCAGCAUGCCACGGUGAAUACGUUCCCGGACCUUGUACAGACCGCCCGUC